CUUACAUUGAUCGCCCAGACCACCUAUCAAGUUUCAUUUACCAGUUAUUCCAACAUCUCCUGGCCUCCGUAAUCUUGGUGUACGGUUUGCUAUUCUUUGACCAAUUCUCUACUGUACCCUGACUGUCUAUUAAAGUGCAAUAUGUAAGCUAGUGAACUGACCAAUGAACGAAUCGAUAAAUUGUUAAUUUCAAGCCAAAUAAUUAGAUGGAAAAGCAGCCAAGUAGGAGAAUUGCUUAAAAUUUCUUGAAUUAGUUGAUAACCCUGUUUGGGACUUUCAACCAUAUGUAAUGAGGCUGCUUAGUGAGGAAGACCCAUAGAGUAAUAAUUACUACAAAAUGCAAAAAGUGCUACCAAGACGAUUAACCAGUUUCCUUUCUUUAUAUAAAUUAAUACUCGGGAGGCAUGACAGAAACUAGCUAACACAGGGGUAUUGUUCUAUAGUGACAGAGCCGUCCCAACGGUUGGCUGACAAAUACCAUUACGCAUCUAUACACCGACAUGUAACCGCCACUGCUACUGCUAUGAGAAUUCCUGGGGUGGUCUCAGCCGUAGACUUCCUCUCUGCUCCCCGGGCAGACUAACAUCAGCAGAUGACAUACCUUCUUUUUAUCUUUUAUUUUUGGCUCCCUAACAUCCAACAGGUAGUCGAUGGCAGCGAAAGUAACCUAUGCACACCUCCAAAUGGCUCUAUAAUAUCCGUUGUCUUUUAUAUUUGAAUCUGGCAUCUCAUACAUCAUUGAUCCUCGACUGUAAUCAUUUCGGGACCUGCAUGUCCCAUUCUGUUACCUGUACCUUAUUUG
This is a non-coding RNA of Pelobates cultripes (western spadefoot toad), 802 nucleotides long. NCBI's taxonomy places the organism in Eukaryota, Metazoa, Chordata, Amphibia, Anura, Pelobatidae. The record is from the annotation of a GenBank genome assembly.